RNAcentral lists this long non-coding RNA (851 nucleotides) under Hordeum vulgare. RNAcentral's name for it is "long non-coding RNA (HVUL_LNC006145)". Lineage: Eukaryota; Viridiplantae; Streptophyta; Magnoliopsida; Poales; Poaceae. The record is from RNAcentral.
ACACAAAUCAGUUUGAUGUUGGGACCGUCGUCGCAAGGUUUUUUGCUGUAGGGGCAACUGUUGCCGAGCACACUUCGAGGUAAGAAUCUUUCGUCUCAUAAGGUUUAUGUAUAUGCAAAUCAUGUAGCUAGCCAGUUGCGUUACCUAUGCGUCUCCCGUUCGAAAGAGUUACAUUAUUUAUAAAUAUGCAAGUUGCAUAUUUAUAAUCGUAACUCUUUCGAAUUGUCCAGCGUUUUCCACGGACAGCCCGAGGAUGUGUAGGCUGGCUUUGCUUUCAUGCACUACUCCAAUCCGACACAGAAUUUCGACAAUGUCUCCUCGAUGUUCUCCGGAUGCACAUUCUCUCUGCUUAUGUCGAGACGUGUAUUUGGAGAACAGCGGGGAGGUGCUGCCGAAAUUCUGUGUCGGAUCGGAGUAGGGCAUGAAAGCGAAGCCAGCCUACACAUCCUCGAGUGGGAUUAGGACCUAUCCUUACCUAUUAGGUAGUUUUGAGUUCAUGCCAUAAAACUUGAAUAGUUGUAAUUUGUUGAACUAAUACUGGAUGAAACAACUUGGUCAAUGAAAAACACAUCAGAUGGAGGAUCGUGAGUGGAUGUAUAGUGGACAGUUGAGUGGAGGGGGUGUGCUUCCAGAAUGGGUUACAAAGACAAAUCAGUUCUUCGAAGCAGCAUUUGCCAGGCACACGGGACAUGGUGGAGUUGUGUGCCCUUGCACCAGAUGGUGGAGUUUGACGAGUUGGACAUACCCUUGUACCACGUGUUGCUAGCCCUAUCCCCUCCGCCCAUUCCGAGGAGGAGUCGGAGGAGAGGGAGGAGGAGUUUGAGGAGGAGAGGGAGGAGCCAGUUUUGGAG